Molecule: ribosomal RNA, 253 nt
Filed under: uncultured bacterium
Lineage: Bacteria
Description: partial 16S ribosomal RNA
Rfam family: Bacterial small subunit ribosomal RNA
Source: RNAcentral
UACGAAGGGGGCGAGCGUUGUUCGGAUUUACUGGGCGUAAAGGGCGCGUAGGCGGCCUUGUCAGUCAGGCGUGAAAGCCCCGGGCUCAACCUGGGAACGGCGCUUGGGACGGCGAGGCUGGAGUUCGGGAGAGGAGAGUGGAAUUCCCAGUGUAGGGGUGAAAUUCGUAGAUAUUGGGAAGAACACCGGUGGCGAAGGCGGCUCUCUGGACCGACACUGACGCUGAGGCGCGAAAGCGUGGGGAGCAAACAGG